CAGCAGCCGCGGGAAUACGUAGGUGGCAAGCGUUGUCCGGAAUUAUUGGGCGUAAAGGGCUCGCAGGCGGUUUCUUAAGUCUGAUGUGAAAGCCCCCGGCUCAACCGGGGAGGGUCAUUGGAAACUGGGAAACUUGAGUGCAGAAGAGGAGAGUGGAAUUCCACGUGUAGCGGUGAAAUGCGUAGAGAUGUGGAGGAACACCAGUGGCGGAGGCGACUCUCUGGUCUGUAACUGACGCCGAGGAGCGAAAGCGUGGGGAGCGAACAGGAUUAGAUACCCGCGUAGUCCCUGUCUCUUAUAC
This 301-nucleotide ribosomal RNA is filed under the name uncultured bacterium. Its description in RNAcentral is "partial 16S ribosomal RNA". It matches the Rfam family "Bacterial small subunit ribosomal RNA", at positions 509 to 807 of the family's 1533-position model. The record is from RNAcentral.